Molecule: ribosomal RNA, 186 nt
Filed under: Triticum aestivum (bread wheat)
Lineage: Eukaryota; Viridiplantae; Streptophyta; Magnoliopsida; Poales; Poaceae
Description: partial small subunit ribosomal RNA
Source: RNAcentral
UUUUAGGAUGCGUUGUCUGACUGCUCUUUGGAAGAUUUGGGAUAUGAAGGGGACAAAUUCACCUGGUUCCGAGGAGGUUUACGAGAGAGGCUGGACAGGGCAGUUUCAAAUGCGGAGUGGCUACUAAUGCACCCUUGGGCGGGUCUGAGCAACCUCGAGAUGGGGAAGUCUGACCACCGACCCAUU